AUUGAACGCUGGCGGCAGGCCUAACACAUGCAAGUCGAACGGUAACAGGAAGAAGCUUGCUUCUUUGCUGACGAGUGGCGGACGGGUGAGUAAUGUCUGGGAAACUGCCUGAUGGAGGGGGAUAACUACUGGAAACGGUAGCUAAUACCGCAUAACGUCGCAAGACCAAAGAGGGGGACCUUCGGGCCUCUUGCCAUCGGAUGUGCCCUGAUGGGAUUAGCUAGUAGGUGGGGUAACGGCUCACCUAGGCGACGAUCCCUAGCUGGUCUGAGAGGAUGACCAGCCACACUGGAACUGAGACACGGUCCAGACUCCUACGGGAGGCAGCAGUGGGGAAUAUUGCACAAUGGGCGAAAGCCUGAUGCAGCCAUGCCGCGUGUAUGAAGAAGGCCUUCGGGUUGUAAAGUACUUUCAGCGGGGAGGAAGGGAGUAAAGUUAAUACCUUUGCUCAUUGACGUUACCCGCAGAAGAAGCACCGGCUAACUCCGUG
This 490-nucleotide ribosomal RNA is filed under the name uncultured bacterium. Its description in RNAcentral is "partial 16S ribosomal RNA". It matches the Rfam family "Bacterial small subunit ribosomal RNA", at positions 30 to 507 of the family's 1533-position model. The record is from RNAcentral.